GGGAAGGUGGCUCAGUGGUAGAGUGCUUGCCUUGCAUGCAUGAGGCCCUGGGUUCAAUUCCUCAGAUCCA
Dipodomys ordii (Ord's kangaroo rat) is the source of this 70-nucleotide non-coding RNA. The record is from Rfam. Lineage: Eukaryota; Metazoa; Chordata; Mammalia; Rodentia; Heteromyidae.